RNAcentral lists this ribosomal RNA (626 nucleotides) under Klebsiella variicola. RNAcentral describes it as "bacterial SSU rRNA". It matches the Rfam family "Bacterial small subunit ribosomal RNA", at positions 78 to 702 of the family's 1533-position model. Lineage: Bacteria; Pseudomonadati; Pseudomonadota; Gammaproteobacteria; Enterobacterales; Enterobacteriaceae. The record is from RNAcentral.
GCUCUCGGGUGACGAGCGGCGGACGGGUGAGUAAUGUCUGGGAAACUGCCUGAUGGAGGGGGAUAACUACUGGAAACGGUAGCUAAUACCGCAUAACGUCGCAAGACCAAAGUGGGGGACCUUCGGGCCUCAUGCCAUCAGAUGUGCCCAGAUGGGAUUAGCURGUAGGUGGGGUAACGGCUCACCUAGGCGACGAUCCCUAGCUGGUCUGAGAGGAUGACCAGCCACACUGGAACUGAGACACGGUCCAGACUCCUACGGGAGGCAGCAGUGGGGAAUAUUGCACAAUGGGCGCAAGCCUGAUGCAGCCAUGCCGCGUGUGUGAAGAAGGCCUUCGGGUUGUAAAGCACUUUCAGCGGGGAGGAAGGCGGUGAGGUUAAUAACCUCAUCGAUUGACGUUACCCGCAGAAGAAGCACCGGCUAACUCCGUGCCAGCAGCCGCGGUAAUACGGAGGGUGCAAGCGUUAAUCGGAAUUACUGGGCGUAAAGCGCACGCAGGCGGUCUGUCAAGUCGGAUGUGAAAUCCCCGGGYUCAACCUGGGAACUGCAUUCSAAACUGGCAGGCUAGAGUCUUGUAGAGGGGGGUAGAAUUCCAGGUGUASCGGUGAAAUGCGUAGAGAUCUGGA